This 1792-nucleotide long non-coding RNA is filed under the name Dicentrarchus labrax (European seabass). Its description in RNAcentral is "lncRNA (ENSDLAG00005029575.1)". The record is from RNAcentral. Lineage: Eukaryota; Metazoa; Chordata; Actinopteri; Moronidae.
ACAGCAAAUCAGGAGGCGUGUCACACUGAGGCAGCCAAUCAGGAAGCCUUUGACACUCAGCAGCCAAUUAGGAGGCGUGUAACACUCAGCCAACCAAUCAGGAGGCGUGUAACACUCAGGCAGCCAAUCAGGAGGCCUUUGACAUUCAGCCAGCCAAUCAGGAGACGUUUAACACUCAGCCAACCAAUCAGGAGGCAUGUAACACUCAGCCAGCCAAUAAGGAGGCGUGUCACACUCAGACAGCGAAUCAGGGGGCUUGUAACACUCAGCCAGCCAAUCAGGAGGCGUGUAACACUCAGCCAGCCAAUAAGGAGGCGUGUCACAAUCAGCCAGCCAAUCAGGAGGCGUGUAACACUCAGCCAGCCAAUCAGGAGGCGUGUCACAAUCAGCCAGCCAAUCAGGAGGCGUAUAACACUCAGCCAGCCAAUCAGGAGGCGUGUAACAAUUAGCCAGCAUGUCAGGAGGCGUGUAACACUCAGCCAGCCAAUCAGGAGGCCUGUAACACUCAGCCAGCCAAUCAUGAUGCGUGUAACACUCAGCCAGCCAAUAAGGAGGCGUGUCACAAGCAGCCAGCCAAUCAGGAGGCGUGUAACACUCAGCCAGCAAAUCAGGAGGCGUGUAACACUCAGCCAGCAUAUCAGGAGGCGUGUAACACUUAGACAGCCAAUCAGGGGGCGUGUAACACUCAAACAGCCAAUCAGGAGGCGUGUAACACUUAGACAGCCAAUCAGCGGGCGUGUAACACUCAGACAGCCAAUCAGGAGGCGUGUAACACUCAGCCAGCCAAUCAGGAGGCGUGUAACACUCAGCCAGCCAAUAAGGAGGCGUAUCACAAUCAGCCAGCCAAUCAUGAGGCGUUUAACACGUAGACAGCCAAUCAGGGGGCGUGUAACACUCAGACAGCCAAUCAGGAGGCGUGUAACACUCAGCUAGCCAAUCAGGAGGCGUGUAACACAUAGACAGCCAAUCAGUGGGCGUGUAACAAACAGCCAGCCAAUCAGGAGGCGUGUAAUACUCAGCCAGCCAUUCAGGCGGCGUGUCACACUCAGCUAGCCAAUCAGGAGUUGUGUAACACUCAGCCAGCAAAUCAGGAGGCGUGUAACACUCAGGCAGCCAAUCAGGAGGCGUGUAACACUCAGAUAGCCAAUCAGGAGGCGUGUAACACUCAGCCAACCAAUCAGGAGGCGUGUAACACUCAGCCAGCCAAUCAGGAAGAGUGUAAAAAUCUGCUAGCCAAUCAGGAGGCGUGUGACAUUCAGACAGCAAAUCAGGGGGCAAGUACCACUUAGCCAGCCAAUCAGGGGGCGCGUAACACUAAGCCAGCCAAUCAGGAAGCGUGUAAAAAUCUGCUAGCCAAUCAGGACGCAUGUAAAACUCAGACAGCCAAUAAGGAGGCGUGUCACACUCAGGCAGCCAAGUAGGAGGUGUGUAACACUCAGGCAGCAAAUCAGGAGGCAUGUAACACUCAGCCAGCCAAUCAGGAGUUGUGUAACACUAGACCAGCCAAUCAGCAGGCGUGUCACACUCAGCCAGCCAAUCAGGAGGCGUGUACCACUCAGGCAGCCAAUCAGGAGGCGUGUAACAGUCAGCUACCAAUCAGGAGGCGUGUAACACUCAGCCAACCAAUCAGGAGGCGUGUAACACUCAGGCAGCCAAUCAGGAGGCCUUUGACAUUCAGCCAGCCAAUCAGGAGACGUUUAACACUCAGCCAACCAAUCAGGAGGCAUGUAACACUCAGCCAGCCAAUAAGGAGGCGUGUCACACUCAGACAGCGAAUCAGGGGGCUUGUAAC